Molecule: small RNA, 782 nt
Filed under: Vigna angularis var. angularis
Lineage: Eukaryota; Viridiplantae; Streptophyta; Magnoliopsida; Fabales; Fabaceae
Description: Non-protein coding transcript
Source: RNAcentral
GUCAUUGACAAUAGAUAGCAUCUAUAUAACUAAUGAGCUCUCACUUGUGUAACUAUAAUGGUUUACUACCAUAUUUAUCGCUGACACUGACCCCAGAAAUUACUGAGAAUUUAAUCCUAAUCUCAGGGUACUUUGGUCUUCGUGUGAUUGUUCUACUAUGAGCAUGGGAAAGUGACUCUAGCUAUUGAGAGUAUUUGUCUUAAAUCUCCUCACAUCUUCUGUAUAUGUCAGAUAGUUUAGGUUGUUUGUCGAUUGUCUAACACAACCAUCACCUUUUAUAUGGGCUGGGGACUAUGUAAAGAACAGCAACAAGGACCAAGUGGGCAGUUUCCUGGACUUUUCAAGUGUAGCUUGUUUAAUGGUGAGUUUGGUGAUUUCCUUCUCAUAGACAUGAUACAGGACUAAAAUUGUUUUCAGGGAGGGUCCAUUUAUUAUCAGUGGUAGUCAUAAUUUCAGUUAUUUAGUGAAAUGAUUCUCACCGCUUAACUCUGUCAUCAAUCAAUGUGGGUCUACAGCGCCUUAGAGUUCCUUUGAGUUGUAUACAACUCAAAUGUACACGUUUAUCUUAGAACUUGACAUUUAGAAGCCUGUUUCCAGACAAGGGAAAUCCAAAUCUUGAAUUCACUGACCUACGUAUUAUUUAUAGAUUUAAACUAAGUGUUGUGAACUAAUAUUCCAAGAUUUUUGAAGUCAUUAUACUUUGUUGCCUACUUCUUUACUGUGGUCUCCGGAAUUUAUUCAUCUUUUCUUGAUUUUUAUCAUGAUUUUCUCGUGUUACCUUA